UUCCAAAAACAGUUUUCAGGAGUCUUGAGUGCACUGAUUAGAAUUUUUCACAACUCAACAAGCCACUAAAUAUUGCUGUACUGUAAACAAGUGAAAUGAAGGACUUUUCCCUGAGAUGACACAGUAGGAAGUAAUGAGUUCUGUU
This is a long non-coding RNA of Oxyura jamaicensis (ruddy duck), 145 nucleotides long. RefSeq lists it as uncharacterized. The transcript is spliced from 3 exons. NCBI's taxonomy places the organism in Eukaryota, Metazoa, Chordata, Aves, Anseriformes, Anatidae. The record is from RefSeq and is a predicted model, not a curated record.